CCAGGUCAUUCUCACUCUGAUUCAAUUAGAUUACUAUCAAGUGAUACUUCAUGAGUCUUUUUUCAACUAAGUCAAGUUUUACAUAAUAAAGCAAAUGAAAGUAAUUAC
Molecule: non-coding RNA, 108 nt
Organism: Ceratotherium simum simum (southern white rhinoceros)
Lineage: Eukaryota; Metazoa; Chordata; Mammalia; Perissodactyla; Rhinocerotidae
Source: RefSeq, a predicted model, not a curated record